RNAcentral lists this ribosomal RNA (253 nucleotides) under uncultured bacterium. Its description in RNAcentral is "partial 16S ribosomal RNA". It matches the Rfam family "Archaeal small subunit ribosomal RNA", at positions 474 to 727 of the family's 1478-position model. The record is from RNAcentral.
UAUCAGCACCCCGAGUGGUCGGGACGAUUAUUGGGCCUAAAGCAUCCGUAGCCGGCCUUACAAGUCCUCCGUUAAAUCCAGCUGCUUAACAGAUGGGCUGCGGAGGAUACUAUAAGACUAGGAGGCAGGAGAGGCAAGCGGUACUCAGUGGGUAGGGGUAAAAUCCGUUGAUCCAUUGAAGACCACCAGUGGCGAAGGCGGCUUGCCAGAAUGCGCUCGACGGUGAGGGAUGAAAGCUGGGGGAGCAAACCGG